RNAcentral lists this ribosomal RNA (322 nucleotides) under uncultured bacterium. RNAcentral describes it as "bacterial SSU rRNA". It matches the Rfam family "Bacterial small subunit ribosomal RNA", at positions 28 to 334 of the family's 1533-position model. The record is from RNAcentral.
GAUGAACGCUGGCGGCGUGCCUAACACAUGCAAGUCGAGCGAAGCAUUUUAAAGGAAGUUUUCGGAUGGAAUUUGAAAUGACUGAGCGGCGACGGGUGAGUACGCGUGGGUAACCUGCCUCAUACAGGGGGAUAACAGUUAGAAAUGACUGCUAAUACCGCAUAAGCACACAGUACCGCAUGGUACGGUGUGAAAAACUCCGGUGGUAUGAGAUGGACCCGCGUCUGAUUAGCUGGUUGGCGGGGUAACGGCCCACCAAGGCGACGAUCAGUAGCCGACCUGAGAGGGUGACCGGCCACAUUGGGACUGAGACACGGCCCAA